GAACGCAGAGGCGAUCCUUUGGAUGUCAUGGACGAUUCCGUAGAUUUUCUUAGCUUGCAAGUCAUUGUUGAUUGCUCGGAUGAGCAUUAAAUUGUCAGAGAAUACCUUUAGUCUGGGUAGAUCAAGGUUCACUGCAGUAGAGAUCGCGGAUCGAAGCGCCAGUGCUUCAGCGAUCAGAGGUGAGUUGAUGUCCUCUUUUGUGACGAUUCCUUGUGUGAUACGAUUGUUUGCUGUUCCGGUAAUGGUCCAAGCUAAUCCCGCUUUCCUUGUUUGCUUGUUCCACGCUGCGUCGGAUUUGCAGGUUGGAGUUGCUUCGAGAUCGAAUUGGGUCCGGUGAACUACCGUCGGUACUGGAGCUAUCGUUAGAUUCUUCGACUUUUUCGGUGGUUGAGCCAGGCUUCACUCUCUUGCUAGCCGGAUUCCAUUCGUCGCCGUUUCCUCCGGAGAUAGGGUCAUGUUUUCAAAGAUGAGAGUGUUUCGUGCCUUCCAUAUGGACCAACAGACCC
RNAcentral lists this long non-coding RNA (506 nucleotides) under Brassica napus (rape). Its description in RNAcentral is "long non-coding RNA (BNAP_LNC012420)". Lineage: Eukaryota; Viridiplantae; Streptophyta; Magnoliopsida; Brassicales; Brassicaceae. The record is from RNAcentral.